UACGUAGGGUGCGAGCGUUGUCCGGAAUUAUUGGGCGUAAAGAGCUCGUAGGCGGCUUGUCGCGUCGGAUGUGAAAGCCCGGGGCUUAACUCCGGGUCUGCAUUCGAUACGGGCAGGCUAGAGUUCGGUAGGGGAGAUCGGAAUUCCGGGUGUAGUGGUGGAAUGCGUAGAGAUCCGGAGGAACACCAGCGGCGAAGGCGGCAUCCUGGACUGGUCCUGACACUCAGGAGCGAAAGCGUGGGGAGCGAUCCGG
Molecule: ribosomal RNA, 253 nt
Filed under: uncultured bacterium
Lineage: Bacteria
Description: partial 16S ribosomal RNA
Rfam family: Bacterial small subunit ribosomal RNA
Source: RNAcentral